UUUGGGGGUGAAAAAUGAGAGUUAUGUGAUGUAUAUUGAUGUUUGAUAUAUGUUGUGAAAUAUGUGUCUUGAGAUGUGAAACUUUGAUGGAAGUUAGUUUACCCCAAAAAUGGUAACUUUUGAGUUAAUGAGUUAAAUGAUGAAUUGAUGAUAUAAAUGAGUCUAUGAGGUGUAGAUGAUGAUGAUUGAUGGAUUAAUUUAAGUAUAUGAUGUCAAUUGGAGUUUUUGAUGUGGGUUAGUUUACUAAAAUUUGGGGAUAUGUGUAUAUAUGCCCUUAUUGGUGAAUUGAUG
This 291-nucleotide long non-coding RNA is filed under the name Salvia miltiorrhiza (redroot sage). RNAcentral describes it as "long non-coding RNA (SMIL_LNC012886)". Lineage: Eukaryota; Viridiplantae; Streptophyta; Magnoliopsida; Lamiales; Lamiaceae. The record is from RNAcentral.